RNAcentral lists this unclassified non-coding RNA (379 nucleotides) under uncultured Actinomycetes bacterium. Its description in RNAcentral is "uncultured actinobacterium contains 16S-23S intergenic spacer region". Lineage: Bacteria; Bacillati; Actinomycetota; Actinomycetes. The record is from RNAcentral.
UCCGAGUUGUCCCCGGCAGUCCCCUUAGAGUCCCCGGCUUUACCCGCUGGCAACUAAGGGUAGGGGUUGCGCUCGUUGCGGCACUUGAGCCAACAUCUCACGACACGAGCUGACGACAGCCAUGCACCACCUGUGCACUGGCCCCGAAGGGCUGCCGUAUUUCUACGACAUUCCAGUGCAUGUCAAGCCUUGGUAAGGUUCUUCGCGUCGCGUCGAAUUAAACCACAUGCUCCGCUGCUUGUGCGGGCCCCCGUCACUUCCUUUGAGUUUUAGCCUUGCGGCCGUACUCCCCAGGCGGGGCACUUAAUGCGUUAGCUACGGCACGGAACCCGUUGAUAGAGUCCCACACCUAGUGCCCAACGUUUACGGCGUGGACUAC